CCUACGGGUGGCAGCAGUCGAGAAUCAUUCACAAUGGGGGAAACCCUGAUGGUGCGACGCCGCGUGGGGGAAUGAAGGUCUUCGGAUUGUAAACCCCUGUCAUGUGGGAGCAAAUAAAAAAGAUAGUACCACAAGAGGAAGAGACGGCUAACUCUGUGCCAGCAGCCGCGGUAAUACAGAGGUCUCAAGCGUUGUUCGGAAUCACUGGGCGUAAAGCGUGCGUAGGCUGUUUCGUAAGUCGUGUGUGAAAGGCCCGGGCUCAACCCGCGGACGGCACAUGAUACUGCGAGACUAGAGUAAUGGAGGGGGAGCCGGAAUUCUCGGUGUAGCAGUGAAAUGCGUAGAUAUCGAGCGGAACACUCGUGGCGAAGGCGGGUUCCUGGACAUUAACUGACGCUGAAGCACGAAGGCCAGGGGAGCGAAAGGGAUUAGAUACCCGUGUAGUC
RNAcentral lists this ribosomal RNA (446 nucleotides) under uncultured bacterium. RNAcentral's name for it is "partial 16S ribosomal RNA". It matches the Rfam family "Bacterial small subunit ribosomal RNA", at positions 338 to 795 of the family's 1533-position model. The record is from RNAcentral.